Molecule: ribosomal RNA, 201 nt
Filed under: uncultured bacterium
Lineage: Bacteria
Description: partial 16S ribosomal RNA
Rfam family: Bacterial small subunit ribosomal RNA
Source: RNAcentral
GCAGGCUGCAACCCGCCUGCAUGAAGUUGGAAUCGCUAGUAAUCGCGGAUCAGCAUGCCGCGGUGAAUACGUUCCCGGGCCUUGUACACACCGCCCGUCACACCAUGAGAGUCGGGAACACCCGAAGUCCGUAGCCUAACCGCAAGGGGGGCGCGGCCGAAGGUGGGUUCGAUAAUUGGGGUGAAGUCGUAACAAGGUAUC